UCCCUGGUAGUAUAUCGGUUAGUACACGCGCCUGUCAUGAGGGAACAUAACAGAUUUGCCGCGCGAAAGCUGGGUUCGACUCCCAGCCAGGGAG
Molecule: non-coding RNA, 94 nt
Organism: Lentinula detonsa
Lineage: Eukaryota; Fungi; Basidiomycota; Agaricomycetes; Agaricales; Omphalotaceae
Source: the annotation of a GenBank genome assembly